RNAcentral lists this ribosomal RNA (229 nucleotides) under uncultured bacterium. RNAcentral describes it as "partial 16S ribosomal RNA". It matches the Rfam family "Bacterial small subunit ribosomal RNA", at positions 104 to 334 of the family's 1533-position model. The record is from RNAcentral.
CGGGGUGAGUAAUGUCUGGGAAACUGCCUGAUGGAGGGGGAUAACUACUGGAAACGGUAGCUAGUACCGCAUAACGUCGCAAGACCAAAGAGGGGGACCUUCGGGCCUCUUGCCAUCGGAUGUGCCCAGAUGGGAUUAGCUAGUAGGUGGGGUAACGGCUCACCUAGGCGACGAUCCCUAGCUGGUCUGAGAGGAUGACCAGCCACACUGGAGCUGAGACACGGUCCAG